UACGUAGGGGGCUAGCGUUAUCCGGAUUUAUUGGGCGUAAAGAGAACGCAGGCGGUCUUUUAAGUCUGAUGUGAAAGCCUUCGGCUUAACCGGAGUAGUGCAUUGGAAACUGGGAGACUUGAGUGCAGAAGAGGAGAGUGGAACUCCAUGUGUAGCGGUGAAAUGCGUAGAUAUAUGGAAGAACACCAGUGGCGAAAGCGGCUCUCUGGUCUGUAACUGACGCUGAGGUUCGAAAGCGUGGGUAGCAAACAGG
Molecule: ribosomal RNA, 253 nt
Filed under: uncultured bacterium
Lineage: Bacteria
Description: partial 16S ribosomal RNA
Rfam family: Bacterial small subunit ribosomal RNA
Source: RNAcentral